Molecule: ribosomal RNA, 1542 nt
Filed under: Cermatobius japonicus
Lineage: Eukaryota; Metazoa; Arthropoda; Chilopoda; Lithobiomorpha; Henicopidae
Description: eukaryotic LSU rRNA
Rfam family: Eukaryotic large subunit ribosomal RNA
Source: RNAcentral
CACUAAGCGGAGGAAAAGAAACUAACGAGGAUUCCCCUAGUAACGGCGAGUGAACGGGGAACAGCCCAUCGCCGAAGCCCCCGUCCGAAAAGGGCGGCGGGCAAUGUGGCGUUCGGGAGGAGCCAUUCCUUCAGUCCGCGGAAGCCCAAGUCCCCCUGACCGGGGCCAUCGCCCGAGGAGGGUGCAAGGCCCGUGCGGCUUCUUUGUCGGCUGGAGGACGGCUCUCUUCCCUCGAGUCGGGUUGCUUGGGAGUGCAGCCCUAAGUCGGUGGUAAACUCCACCUAAGGCUAAAUACUGCCACGAGACCGAUAGCGAACAAGUACCAUGAGGGAAAGUUGCAAAGAACUUUGAAGAGAGAGUUCAAGAGUACGUGAAACCGCUCGGAGGCAAACGGGUGGGCCCUCGAAGGUCGAACGGGGGGAUUCAACCGGUCGUCGGACUCUGCGGGUUGCGAUCUCUCAAAAGUUGACGGAUCCGAGGGACCGGAUCGCAACCUUGGUGAACCGCGGAGGACGGCCGGCGCACUUCCCCCUCAGUAGGACGCCGCGACCGGUCGGGAUUUGACGGUCAUAAGGGCAAGGUAGGCAGGUAUCCGGUAGGUCGGCUUCCCAUCCUCGUGGUGGGGGCUCCUGCCGGAGUUAUAGCCUCACCGAACGUCCCUGGCUCCGUCGCCCGACCGAGGCCACAAAACGAGACCCUUGCCAGCGUAUUAUGCCCGACUAGCGACAGGCGUGGCUUUCGGUUCUGCCGGACGCCCGAAGAGGCGGUCGGUGUCCGUCUGCCCGCUGUUGGUUGCGGGGGUUUACACGCUGUUAGCGACCGGAGGUCUGCGGCGAGUAGGUCGGUCGCCCACCCGACCCNNNCUGAAACACGGACCAAGGAGUCUAACAUGUACGCGAGUCAAUGGGGAUCUGUCGAGACCCACAGGCGCAAUGAAAGUGAAGGUCUUCCCUAGAUGUCGACCGUGGCGGGAUCCGUCCAAACCGGGCGUAGAGGCUGUAACAGGCUGAACCCCGGCGGCGCACCGCCGGCCCGUCGUGACCGCAUCGCCGGUGCGGCGGAGCAAGAGCGUACACGUUGGGACCCGAAAGAUGGUGAUCUAUGCUUGGGCAGGACGAAGCCAGAGGAAACUCUGGUGGAGGUCCGUAGCGAUUCUGACGUGCAAAUCGAUCGUCGGACCUGAGUAUAGGGGCGAAAGACUAAUCGAACCGUCUAGUAGCUGGUUCCCUCCGAAGUUUCCCUCAGGAUAGCUGGCGCUCGGAACGRAACGCAGUCUCAUCCGGUAAAGCGAAUGAUUAGAGGCCUUGGGGYCGAAACGAUCUCAACCUAUUCUCAAACUUUAAAUGGGUGAGAAGUCUGGCUUGCUCGAAUUGAAGCCCRGACGUUGGAUGCGAGUGCCUAGUGGGCCACUUUUGGUAAGCAGAACUGGCGCUGUGGGAUGAACCAAACGCCGGGUUAAGGCGCCAAAUGCAGACGCUCAUCGGACCCCAUGAAAGGUGUUGGUUGCUAUAGACAGCAGGAAAGUGGCCAUGGAAUUUGGAA